GGGCCCGCACAAGCGGUGGAGCAUGUGGUUUAAUUCGAUGCAACGCGAAAAACCUUACCAGGCCUUGACAUCCUGAGAAUUCGGUAGAGAUACCUUAGUGCCUUCGGGAACUCAGUGACAGGUGUUGCAUGGCUGUCGUCAGCUCGUGUCGUGAGAUGUUGGGUUAAGUCCCGUAACGAGCGCAACCCUUAUCCUUAUUUGCCAGCACUUCGGGUGGGAACUUUAAGGAGACUGCCGGUGACAAACCGGAGGAAGGAGAGGAUGAUGUCAAGUCAUCAUGGCCCUUACGGCCUGGGCUACACACGUGCUACAAUGGGCAGUACAGAGGGCCGCGAUACCGCGAGGUGGAGCAAAUCCCAAAAAACUGUUCGUAGUCCGGAUCGGAGUCUGCAACUCGACUCCGUGAAGUCGGAAUC
This 416-nucleotide ribosomal RNA is filed under the name uncultured bacterium. Its description in RNAcentral is "bacterial SSU rRNA". It matches the Rfam family "Bacterial small subunit ribosomal RNA", at positions 917 to 1333 of the family's 1533-position model. The record is from RNAcentral.